UAGGAAUUGGGCAUAUCUCACUCGCUGGGUUAGGGGUGGGUAGGUGGGCAGGGGUACCUUUGCAGAAUUUGAGAUCCAGUGGGUUAGGUCCUCUGUGUGGACUCCCUGUAGAUAUUGGGGAAUGAGCUUGGGAUGGCUGGUCUCAGCGAGACCGGGGUGGGUUGGACAUUUUCGGCUUAGGUACUCCUGGUACCUGUGGAGGCGGAAGUGUGAACUUCCUCCCUGUGGGGUGCAUUCCCCGAGUCGACCCACUCUAUGGCUUGCUAAUCGGUCUGUUGGUGUUGGCGCAUAGCCGGGUAGUAGUGCAAUGAAGC
Non-coding RNA from Pelobates cultripes (western spadefoot toad), 314 nucleotides. Lineage: Eukaryota; Metazoa; Chordata; Amphibia; Anura; Pelobatidae. The record is from the annotation of a GenBank genome assembly.